GUACACGCUGUGACUAGCAUAUCAAUAAGCGGAGGAAAAGAAACUAACAAGGAUUCCCCUAGUAACGGCGAGUGAAGCGGGAAGAGCUCAAAUUUGAAAUCUUAAAGGGUUUCCCUUUACGAAUUGUAGUUUAAAGAAGUGUUUUCUGUUGAGGUUUUGGUAAAAGUUCUUUGGAAUAGGACAUCAUAGAGGGUGAGAAUCCCGUAUUUGACCUUUACUUUCAACUUUGUGAUACACUUUCAAAGAGUCGGAUUGUUUGGGAAUGCAGUCCAAAAUGGGUGGUAAAUUUCAUCUAAAGCUAAAUAUUGGCGAGAGACCGAUAGCGAACAAGUACCGUGAGGGAAAGAUGAAAAGAACUUUGAAAAGAGAGUUAAACAGUACGUGAAAUUGUCAAAAGGGAAGCGUUUGACACCAGUGUUGUUUUUCUGAAAAUCAAUUAAAGAACUGUUUAUGCUAAGUUGUUUAGACUUUAUCAGCUAUCUGUUUAGUUUUGAGCUUUUCUUUAAUGCACUUUUCAGUUAACAAGUCAACAUCAAUUUCUUUUGCUGUAAAAAAGCUUGAGGAAGGUGGCUUGAGAUUCGUCUUAAGUGUUUAUAGCCUCUUGCCUAUGCAGUCGGAGAGAUUGAGGUCUGCAGCGUAGAUCCUUCGGGGCUAAAUGCAUUUGUGCUAAGUUAUAGCAUUUUAUAGACAACUUGUUGACUAUGAUUUGUCUUGUAGCUUACUCGCUUAUGUUAUUUUACCUACGCUUAGGAUGUUGAAGAUGUAGCACAUCAU
This 774-nucleotide ribosomal RNA is filed under the name uncultured Neocallimastigales. RNAcentral describes it as "partial large subunit ribosomal RNA". It matches the Rfam family "Eukaryotic large subunit ribosomal RNA", at positions 22 to 635 of the family's 3401-position model. The record is from RNAcentral. Lineage: Eukaryota; Fungi; Neocallimastigomycota; Neocallimastigomycetes; Neocallimastigales.